RNAcentral lists this ribosomal RNA (339 nucleotides) under Triticum aestivum (bread wheat). RNAcentral describes it as "partial small subunit ribosomal RNA". Lineage: Eukaryota; Viridiplantae; Streptophyta; Magnoliopsida; Poales; Poaceae. The record is from RNAcentral.
AUGCUUGAAACAUCGAAGAAAAUGGUGAAGAGACAUACCGUUCUCCUACUACUUGUCUUUGUAAUUAUGUUCUCCUACAAUGUCCUGGAGGGUGGUGCAUACCAGAACCAAGUGGCAUUCUCUCGCAAAGAGCUGAAAGCACAGCAGAAAGUAUCCUUUACUGGAAUGGAUCCAUCGCUUGGCGGGCAGGUUUCCGGCGCAACCGAUGCAGGAGGUGCAAGCAAUAAUGCUGAAAUAUCAAAUGCUAAAACUACUGCUGCCACGGAGUCCCACCGUGACGUCUCAUGGGAUCAGUUCCGUGGUAUCAUCAUCCACACCCACCAGGUCAAGAAACCAUAA